RNAcentral lists this long non-coding RNA (713 nucleotides) under Numida meleagris (helmeted guineafowl). Its description in RNAcentral is "lncRNA (ENSNMEG00000001028.1)". Lineage: Eukaryota; Metazoa; Chordata; Aves; Galliformes; Numididae. The record is from RNAcentral.
UGAACGCCUCGAAGAUCCUCUUGAAGAAGACGAAGUUGGGGUCGUAGAUCUCGGGCUCCUCGGUCACGUACUCGAUCUCCACGGGGGGGGUGGUUCCGGUCCCGGUUCCGGUUCCGGUUCCGGUUCCGGUUCCGGCCCGCUCCUGCUCCCGCUCCCGGUCCCGGUCCCCGUCGGCCGCUGCCCCCGGCGCUGCCCCCCCGUCCCGCGCCGCCCGCGCCCGCUUCUUCUUCUUGCGGUUACGGCGCUUACGCGUGCGCUGCGGGGACAGCGGCGCUGCUGGGGCACGGCUGUGGGGCACGGCUGUGGGGCACAGCUGUGGGGCACGGCUGUGGGGCACGGCUAUGGGGCACGGCUAUGGGGUGCUGCUGGGGGCAAGGCUAUGGGGCAAGGCCAUGGGCAUAGCUAUGGGGCACCGCUAUGGGGCAAGGCCAUAGGCACGGCUAUGGGGCACAGCUAUGGGGCACGGCUAUGGGGCGCUGCUGGGGGCAAGGCUAUGGGGCACGGCUAUGGGGUGCUGCUGGGGGCAAGGCUAUGGGGCACGGCUAUGGGGCACGGCUAUGGGGCACGGCCACGGGGCAUGGCCAUGGGGCACGGCUAUGGGGUGCUGCUGGGGGCAAAGUUAUGGGACACUGCUAUGGGGCAAGGCUAUGGGGCACUGCUAUGGGGCACGGCUAUGGGGCACUGCAGUGGGGCAAGGCUAUGGGGCAAGGUAA